AAAAUUUAAAAUAUGUUGUAAACAAUCUACAAAUUAGUUGAUCCAAACACAAAUAAUCAAGUACAGAUGGUGUUAAUGCUACUUGGGUGGUGAUGGACCUGAGGAAAAUGGAAUGGAAAAGGAAGAUGCAACUGCAGUGAGCUAUUUAACUAAAUCUGAGCUGUCAUUAUGCUCCUGAGAGUCAUUUUUCUUGAAGGCCCUUCCUGUGGGGGAGUAUACAGUGAUAACUCCAGGUUCAAUGAUAACACAUUGGCAUAUGAAGAAACACCGCAUGCUACAUUUUUCUACCUCAUCUAUUGUUUGAAUUGACCAGCUGAUUUGGUCUCUAGACCUGGGUCCUUUUCCUUUCUCAAAACCCUAUUUGAUUCUCUCUCCCUCUCUUGGUUGGUGGGGACAGUUCCUGGUUGGAGGAAGACUGUUUUUAAGACAACAGAACAUGGGUGUCUGCUCUCCUCUACGGGGACCUACAUCAGUAUUAAUACGGUUGGGAACAGAGGCCGUGAUUCCUGCCCAUUCCCUCCCUGCACCACAAACCCUGGGUCAGUUAGGACAGAGGAGGAGCCAGGACCAUGAAAGCUUCACAUGUGAGAUAAAUGCACUCAAAGGCCCCUCACAAGUAGCUUCAGAUGUAAAAUGGAUCACUCCUCAAUCUGUAAUAGACCCUUCCGUGGAGCUCUUCAAUCAAACCUGAGAAUUCAAGGCGUUUUGUAGCAUCCUAAACAGAAGGAUAUUGAAGGGAGCUGAUUCGGCUUUGAUCCUUGUGCUUGUUGUCAAAGCGCUUGGGAUUGAAGAGACUGUUGGCUACAAUUGACUGUGACAAUUAGGAGAUGAUCAGAGCCCUAGAGUGGAGCACUUAAAGGAAUAAUGGAAUGAAUUUUGGCUCAAGAGGAAAGGACUUGCUUUGUUUUACCCAGAGCUGCAAACUCAGUGCCCAGCAAAGUAGUAGGUGCUCAAUAAAGAGCUGUUAAAUGGAUGAAGAAUGAAUAAAAAGAAUGGGAGUGGGGAUGGAUUGAGUAAUGGGCAGAGGCUUAUGCUUUAUCCAGUAAAUGAAGUAGUUUGUAGAAUAAGUCAUGUGGAUAAUAUUUCUAACUUUGCCCCAAAAUUAACCAAGUUCCUUUCUUCUUUGCAUAUCAGUUUAUUGAUGGUCAGUAGGUAGACUAAAAAGAAUUUCAUGUUACAGGGGGAAAAACAAGCCUGAGAUUUAAAAGAAGAAAAAAAAAUAGUGUUAGUUAAUCCAUGGCGUGGGCGAGAGCUCAGCCAGAAUGCUCUUUGGAAUCCAGACAAUUCAGUGACAGUGACACUCUGGUACAAGUGUUGGGCGGGUCAGAUGAGAUAAGUUUGUGACAUGCGCAAUCACUCUCCAUGGGUUUGAUUUUAGACAGUAUUUCAUGGUGACAUUUAAAUCUGCAUGGGAAAUGCUCCCAGUUCCCUGCCUAGCAGGUAUAGGAUUGCACCUUCAACAAAUAUGGGUAUGUUGUGUCCAGUGUAGUUCUCCAGUAUCUUAACAGAUGGAGCUUAUUUUCUAGGAGAAAUAGUGAUUUCAAGGCAGGGAAGCUAUUUAUUUUUACUUUUUAAAAGGAAUACCUUUCUGGCAAGAAAGCAAAUAAACAAGCAAGCCGACGCCACAGCUUUCUCGGAAGGAGUCAGCGCGGCAGGUACUGGAGAACUCCAUUGGCCGGCCUUCGCUUCCUUGUGCUUUUCUCACACUUGCGUUGGCACAGUUGGUGGAGUUUAUUAUUAGCAGUGUGUCCCACAAGCCAUUCAUUCACAGAACAUGGCCCUGGGAGAGAAAUCUCCGUGUGAAAAUAAAAUUGUCAUUGUUUUUCAUUUGCGUAAGGGGCAUUUCACAUAAAGGAAGAACAACCCUAUGUAAAAAAGGCCUCAAUUCGGAAAACAAAACAGAACAAAAAGCAAAGGUGAGGAGAGAGAGAGACAGAUGUUCUCGCUGGAGUCAGAUUGGAACUGAAAAAUGAAGAUUUUGUCUCGUACGAAGCUAGUUGCCUUGCCAGUCUCAAGCUGGCACUGUGGGCCUGCUGGAGCCGCUGAGCCCGGCGGAGGAAAGCAGACAGCGUGCUUCGGGUUUGCUGCUCAGCCUCCCCAUGCGUCUCAAUAUGUUUUUGAUUUUGUAUUUUAAAAACAUGGUGAAUGAUCUCGAAAGAAAACCAUUGCAGGUGAUUUUAUUCUUUGCUUUUUUCUAAGGGACAAUUAAAAGGCAGUCCUGGUCCUAUUCCAGAGAUUUCCUCAUUUCUUAGUACAACUGUAAUUUAGGCACAUAGAAUAGUGCAAUGGUAUUAUUAGAUAUUAUCGUGUUUAUUUUAUUCAUAAAAAUGUGUGACACACCUUAUUUGUAUUCUUUUUGAGGAAAUGUCCUGGAGUGGGUUUUGUCCGAGUUCCUUUCUGUGCCUGUCAUAAGGUGUGUGUUAGAAUGUUAGUUCCUAGGAAUAAGAAUAGCAUUUCUUUUUUUUUGAGAAAGCAUAAUGAUUUCGAGCUUUGAGGAGUUUCAAUGGGCUAUUGUUACUGUGCUCCAGCCUACCAAAUCCCACUGUGACACACUUCCUACCUCCAAUGGGAGAUAUUUAUAUUUCAAAUUAAAUAAAACUAUAAUUAAUUUUCUUUGGAAAAUUUUUGGGAAUGUUGUUUCUUCGAGAUCUAGGAGGUAAUUGGAGAUACCCAGGCUAUCACAAAACCAGGGCUGGGGAUCCCUGCUUUCAUGAUUAGCACUUUGUAAGCCUUUGAAAAAUAUUAAAACCAGGAGAGAUUGUCUAAUUGCUGGGGGGUGGAUUCACGUUAGUAUAGUGUAAUGUGUUAACAAAUACUCAGAAAGGAGGCUGUGGAUCCAGGAAGAUGGCUUUUGCCCAAAUUAAUUCAAAGACUAGCAGGAACCAUUGUGUAUUGGGGCAGAAGGAAUAAGGUGACUCAAUUAAGCGAUAGAGAAAUCUCCAGGAAAAAAAAAAAUUGUUUUAUGUCAACCCAAUACUAACAAUAAAAUUCUCAUUACUGAAAUCGAUAAUCCUCUAAUAAAUGCAUAAUAACUUCAAAAAGGAUUGUAAAGUAUUUUUGUAUGAUUAAAUAUGCACUAAAUAUGGAAAUCAAAUACUGCUUUUCUUUGAGAAUGGUAAGGUUCUCUUCUGUGUCUCUGAAGAGUAUCUUAAAUGAAAAGGAUCAAAAGAGCAAUUUGAAAUAAAUUCACUUGCUGAAUUUGUGCCUGAACUGACUACAUUUCUCUCAUUUACUUUUGGUUUUUGCUUAGCUCUAACUAAGGUGACAUGGAAAAACUAAUGCCACAGUCUCCCGGGUUGCUGGGGGUUUGUACAAGGCAGCAGUGAGCAUGUGAGGUGGUGCGUGCCCAGUAGGGGGGGCCUUGCUCAGUAGGGGGUCUUUGGCGUUGGACUUAGCGUGAAGAAAAACUGGGCAGUCUGGCUCACUGGUACCACUAGCCUGUUGCUAUUUCAUGUAUCCAGGAAAACAAUCUGAUCCCUCUCUACAUUCGAACUUGAGCCCAACAACUAAUAGUGGUGGUUUGAGUGAGUUCAGAAUCCACCUAUUUGAUACGAAAACCUACAUUGGCUCUGUGACUCUCAGAAAUAGUCAGGACAUUUUAGUGGUAUUCAGAGAUACACAGUUCAUAGACCUCCAGCUGUGUCUGCAGUUUGCAAAGCAAAGUAAGUAAACAGGUAGACUGAGAGAGGAUAUGCAACCCUGAACACACUUCUGCUUUGUCUUUUGGCAGAGAUGUCUGGUUUGGGCUUCCGGAGUUUCUUGCCUGGUGUUCUGCAGGAAAAGUCGCAUUCCAGGAGAUAGGCUGGCCUGUCAUGCUGCUUCUGAAAUGUCUAGAGGUGCUCCGACAUCUAGAGGUUUCCUUCCCCAGCCUGUUUUCCUGAGAUAAUCCCCACCACCUGGUUGAUAACACCGGUCA
This is a long non-coding RNA of Pipistrellus kuhlii (Kuhl's pipistrelle), 3916 nucleotides long. RefSeq lists it as uncharacterized. NCBI's taxonomy places the organism in Eukaryota, Metazoa, Chordata, Mammalia, Chiroptera, Vespertilionidae. The transcript is spliced from 5 exons. The record is from RefSeq and is a predicted model, not a curated record.